UGAGGAAGUGAGUGAAUGUGGCUGGGACACCGCUUGCUAGCUCGGUGUAGAUUAGACCUAUCCCAGGGACUUUGACGAUCCCUAGGCUCGGGCCUCGGGUGAGGAUUGUAUUCAUGGGGACUUUGUUGUGUUGGUCGUAUAGGUACUUUCUUCGGUUUCCGUAGUGCCAGACAUAUGUGGUGAAAGUGAAGAGUAGAGAAAGGAGGAUAGUGAUCCAUCCCCCGUGUGGGAUCUUGGUCCAAGAAGAUGCUACAAAGACGAGUUCGAUGGUCCCAAAUAGGAUGGUGAAGAGAAUAGAGAAGACGAGAUGACGAUUCCAAACAAAGUUUAUGAUUAGAGGCAUCAGCCAGGUCGUCACAAACGCCAGACUCAUGCAAGCAAGUCCUGAUGAAAACCAGUAAGUCAAAAUAUCAGUAACUCUAGUUGUGUGUUCUUGUUGAUGGAAUAUAUAUUCUUUUUUAGUAUGGAGGAAGUUUGCGUACCAAAAGCGAAAGCUAUGUGUCUAGUGUCUCGGAAACCGAUGGUGACGGUGAGUGUGAGGACCAUGAGGAGCCAGUUGAUCUCGGGAAUAUAGAUUUGGCCUAGGACCCAUCUUGGUUUGUGAACAAUCUUCACACGAGGGAAGCAUCCCAGUGCAUAGCAUUGUUUGACAAUUGAGAACGUUGCAAAUAUGACGGCUUGGCUAGCAACCAUUGCAGCCAGCAUUGCCAUCAUUAGAACCGGCCAGAAAAAUGGAUCUGGAUAUCAAGCGGAAGAAUCAUGACAAGAGUGGAGCUGAGUGGAAUGCUAUGGAUCAGCCCAAGGCGUGGAGUUAGAACAGUUACCUUCUGGUUGGGAAGCUAUGGAUCAGCUACUAUAUGGAGUUAGAACAGAUACCUUCAGUUGGGAAGCUUUGAAUCAGCCCAUAGCAUGUGUGCUUGUACCUGGUUGAUGAAGUUUAAGGAAGCCAGCAAAUGGUGAUUUACAAUCUGGCCACAUAUAUGCAAGGACAAAAGGAGUAUUCAACUAGGGAUUUUCUUGGCUGAGCAAUCACAUGAUGGUGGCAGAUCAUGGAGUUGCAACGUCCCCCUACAUGUUGAAAGCUUCAAGAGUGACAAUGCACAGACUGGUUGAGAAGCAGCUGGUGUGAGGGAUUCAAGUGUUCAGUACUCCUCACCAGCAUUCCAGAAAUGUUUACAAGGUACCUAUUGAGCUCAUGAGAAAAGGCAGGCUUGGAUUCAACCCUAAAUGGAAGCAAGAAGCUAGAAGAAAGGAGGAGACAAGCUCUGGUCAUAAGAAGAAGCUCAAAGGUUGUUUUAAGUGUGAAGCAAGGAAAGCAUUGGAGUCUGCUUGCCAUUGAGGUAAGGCCAUGAUCCGGAGUUUAUGAGUCCCUCAACAUCAUCAUAAGGCUCAUAAACUCACUGGCCAAUCCCUAGGCUGAGAGGCUUGUACUCUUUUCCUAAGUGUGGUUUUAUCCCAAAGGGUUUUCUAUGUUUAGGUUUUUAAUGAGGCAAGUACUCUCAGUUUCAAGCUUGCCCAAGGAUCUCCUAUGGUCAAGCUUGAGGGGGAGUGUUGACAUGAGGCAGAAUUAAGCAGCUAGACUUGAGAAUUAAGUUGCUAUACUUGAAAAUACUUAUAAGGUCUUAUAAGGUCUUAUAAGGUUUUAUAAGGUUUUAUAAAGGUUUUAUAAGGUUUUAUAAGAAGCACCAGACUUGAGAUGUAAGCUGCUAGACUUGAGACUUGAGUGCCAGACUUGAGCCUAAGAGUGAAAUUCGUGCAACUUCAGCUUGAGAGUUAAAUUUGAAUUCAAAUUAGGUUCUGGCCUUUGGAGAGAGAGGCUGGACAAGUGAGGCUUAAAAUAACAUGUUGGAGAGAAGAAAGAUGACUGUUAGAAGCUGUCACUAUCACAUUGGAAGCUCUCCUGCAUCUCAGCCAUUCAAUUCAAAUUAAUUCAGAUCCUCUCAUCCCAACCAUUCAUUUUGAAUCCAGAUCUAUCUCUCUUUGUCUUCUUCCUCUCAUUUGUCUAGUGUGUGUGUUGGGUAUAAAGAACUCUCAUUGUAAUCAAUUAUAAUCUAAGCUGAAAGAGGGAAGUUCCCCUUUCUUCUUCACCAUUCUCUUUUCUCUUGGUUACUGUCAAUCUCUAUAAUCUCUUGAUACUCAUACUCUCUUAUUCUCAACUUAAUUUACUCUUCAUCACUUAUCUCUCUAUUUACUUUGUUCCUCAUUGUCUUUUACUCUCAUAUUAAUCAUCAUCUUUUCUUACAUGAUAGCAUUUCAAGAACAAGAUGAUUUGUGUGUUUAAGAACUUUAUUGAAUAUAAACUAGAGAUAGCUCAAAGAGCUUUAUUAUGCAGAAAAUUAAAGAAAGGAAAAGGCUUUAGCUUUGCCACCAAGAACACAAGAACUUAAACUGAUAUUUCAUUAAGGAUAAGAGGGGCUGCCUUUCACGGCAGCAAAGUUACUUUGUCACAACACAUUACAAUCCUAAUUAUACUACUAAUUCACUUGCAAAGGAACCCUAACACACAUGGGUUUAUAACAUAGAAAUGGGCUUGUUGGUAUUGUCUUGGGCUUGUCUUGUGUACUCUAAUACACGGCCUAUAAGGUAUCGUUCCUUCUGCGGUAUGUAAGGGAUAGGGACGGUUUUGGAGCAGAUAAAGACAACCACUUGGUAGAACGCUGGUAAGUUGGUGAGGAAGUGAGUGAAUGUGGCUGGGACACCGCUUGCUAGCUCGGUGUAGAUUAGACCUAUCCCAGGGACUUUGACGAUCCCUAGGCUCGGGCCUCGGGUGAGGAUUGUAUUCAUGGGGACUUUGUUGUGUUGGUCGUAUAGGUACUUUCUUCGGUUUCCGUAGUGCCAGACAUAUGUGGUGAAAGUGAAGAGUAGAGAAAGGAGGAUAGUGAUCCAUCCCCCGUGUGGGAUCUUGGUCCAAGAAGAUGCUACAAAGACGAGUUCGAUGGUCCCAAAUAGGAUGGUG
RNAcentral lists this long non-coding RNA (2956 nucleotides) under Brassica napus (rape). RNAcentral describes it as "long non-coding RNA (BNAP_LNC024224)". The record is from RNAcentral. Lineage: Eukaryota; Viridiplantae; Streptophyta; Magnoliopsida; Brassicales; Brassicaceae.